RNAcentral lists this ribosomal RNA (1018 nucleotides) under Pleosporales sp. UM98. RNAcentral describes it as "eukaryotic LSU rRNA". The stretch from base 134 to 287 matches the Rfam family "5.8S ribosomal RNA". Lineage: Eukaryota; Fungi; Ascomycota; Dothideomycetes; Pleosporales. The record is from RNAcentral.
GACAGUAGCUUUGCCUGCUAUCUCUUACCCAUGUCUUUUGAGUACCUUCGUUUCCUCGGCGGGUCCGCCCGCCGAUUGGACAAUUUAAACCAUUUGCAGUUGCAAUCAGCGUCUGAAAAAACUUAAUAGUUACAACUUUCAACAACGGAUCUCUUGGUUCUGGCAUCGAUGAAGAACGCAGCGAAAUGCGAUAAGUAGUGUGAAUUGCAGAAUUCAGUGAAUCAUCGAAUCUUUGAACGCACAUUGCGCCCCUUGGUAUUCCAUGGGGCAUGCCUGUUCGAGCGUCAUUUGUACCUUCAAGCUCUGCUUGGUGUUGGGUGUUUGUCUCGCCUCUGCGCGUAGACUCGCCUCAAAACAAUUGGCAGCCGGCGUAUUGAUUUCGGAGCGCAGUACAUCUCGCGCUUUGCACUCAUAACGACGACGUCCAAAAGUACAUUUUUACACUCUUGACCUCGGAUCAGGUAGGGAUACCCGCUGAACUUAAGCAUAUCAUAGGCGCGGAAGGAAAAUCAUUACCUAGAGUUGUAGGCUUUGCCUGCUAUCUCUUACCCAUGUCUUUUGAGUACCUUCGUUUCCUCGGCGGGUCCGCCCGCCGAUUGGACAAUUUAAACCAUUUGCAGUUGCAAUCAGCGUCUGAAAAAACUUAAUAGUUACAACUUUCAACAACGGAUCUCUUGGUUCUGGCAUCGAUGAAGAACGCAGCGAAAUGCGAUAAGUAGUGUGAAUUGCAGAAUUCAGUGAAUCAUCGAAUCUUUGAACGCACAUUGCGCCCUUGGUAUUCCAUGGGGCAUGCCUGUUCGAGCGUCAUUUGUACCUUCAGCUCUGCUUGGUGUUGGGUGUUUGUCUCGCUCUGCGCGUAGACUCGCUCAAACAAUUGGCAGCCGGGUAUUGAUUCCGAGCGCAGUACAUCUCGCGCUUUGCACUCAUAACGACGACGUCCAAAGUACAUUUUUACCUCUUGACUUCGGAUCAGUAGGAUACCCGCUGAACUUAAACAUAUCAUAAGCCGGAGGAAAAA